UGAUGCAGCGACGCCGCGUGAGGGAUGAAGGCCUUCGGGUUGUAAACCUCUUUCAGUAGGGAAGAAGCGAAAGUGACGGUACCUGCAGAAGAAGCGCCGGCUAACUACGUGCCAGCAGCCGCGGUAAUACGUAGGGCGCAAGCGUUAUCCGGAAUUAUUGGGCGUAAAGAGCUCGUAGGCGGUUUGUCGCGUCUGCCGUGAAAGUCCGGGGCUUAACUCCGGAUCUGCGGUGGGUACGGGCAGACUUGAGUGAUGUAGGGGAGACUGGAAUUCCUGGUGUAGCGGUGAAAUGCGCAGAUAUCAGGAGGAACACCGAUGGCGAAGGCAGGUCUCUGGGCAUUAACUGACGCUGAGGAGCGAAAGCAUGGGGAGCGAACAGGAUUAGAUACCCUGGUAGUCCAUGCCGUAAACGUUGGGCACUAGGUGUGGGGGACAUUCCACGUUUUCCGCGCCGUAGCUAACGCAUUAA
Molecule: ribosomal RNA, 469 nt
Filed under: Arthrobacter subterraneus
Lineage: Bacteria; Bacillati; Actinomycetota; Actinomycetes; Micrococcales; Micrococcaceae
Description: bacterial SSU rRNA
Rfam family: Bacterial small subunit ribosomal RNA
Source: RNAcentral